Long non-coding RNA from Coregonus clupeaformis (lake whitefish), 172 nucleotides. RefSeq lists it as uncharacterized. NCBI's taxonomy places the organism in Eukaryota, Metazoa, Chordata, Actinopteri, Salmoniformes, Salmonidae. The transcript is spliced from 3 exons. The record is from RefSeq and is a predicted model, not a curated record.
GCUGUGAGCUCGGAUAGAAAAAUGUAUCAACCACCACGAACAGGUUGGUGUAUUGGGGCGGAUUGUUCUGUCCUCUGUAUUUCAGACCAAAGCAAGACAAUGUUUAAAGCUCGCUAUGGAUCUACUAACAGGAUCCAUUUUGAGACGACAGAGCAGAAAACACUAUAUGGAG